UACGGGGGGAGCAAGCGUUGUUCGGAUUUACUGGGCGUAAAGGGCGCGUAGGCGGCCACCGCAAGUCGACUGUGAAAUCUCCGGGCUUAACCCGGAAAGGUCAGCCGAUACUGCGGGGCUAGAGUGCAGAAGGGGCAACUGGAAUUCUCGGUGUAGCGGUGAAAUGCGUAGAUAUCGAGAGGAACACCCGUGGCGAAGGCGGCUCUCUGUAACGCAACUGACGCUGAGACGCGAAAGCGUGGGGAGCAAACAGG
Molecule: ribosomal RNA, 254 nt
Filed under: uncultured bacterium
Lineage: Bacteria
Description: partial 16S ribosomal RNA
Rfam family: Bacterial small subunit ribosomal RNA
Source: RNAcentral